Molecule: ribosomal RNA, 425 nt
Filed under: uncultured bacterium
Lineage: Bacteria
Description: partial 16S ribosomal RNA
Rfam family: Bacterial small subunit ribosomal RNA
Source: RNAcentral
GUGGGGAAUAUUGGACAAUGGGCGAAAGCCUGAUCCAGCAAUGCCGCGUGAGUGAUGAAGGCCUUAGGGUUGUAAAGCUCUUUUACCAGGGAUGAUAAUGACAGUACCUGGAGAAUAAGCUCCGGCUAACUCCGUGCCAGCAGCCGCGGUAAUACGGAGGGAGCUAGCGUUGUUCGGAAUUACUGGGCGUAAAGCGCGCGUAGGCGGCUACUCAAGUCAGAGGUGAAAGCCCGGGGCUCAACCCCGGAACUGCCUUUGAAACUAGGUAGCUAGAAUCUUGGAGAGGUCAGUGGAAUUCCGAGUGUAGAGGUGAAAUUCGUAGAUAUUCGGAAGAACACCAGUGGCGAAGGCGACUGACUGGACAAGUAUUGACGCUGAGGUGCGAAAGCGUGGGGAGCAAACAGGAUUAGAAACCCGAGUAGUCC